This is a long non-coding RNA of Passer domesticus (house sparrow), 348 nucleotides long. RefSeq lists it as uncharacterized. NCBI's taxonomy places the organism in Eukaryota, Metazoa, Chordata, Aves, Passeriformes, Passeridae. The transcript has 3 exons. The record is from RefSeq and is a predicted model, not a curated record.
GGCCCAGCCAGUGUCGUGUGGCAGGUCGAUGAUGAGCCACGGACUGGAAGUGCCGAACUGCUGUCUGCUGUUUACACCGGGCGGUGCGGGGCCUCACGAUACAAAACGAGGGGCUCUGAUAUUUGGACUGUUCUUCCCUUUGGGACCUGAGUAAGAGAGCAAUCCUGAAAGAGCCUUCAGGAGCAACUUUUCCACCCCACCAACAUGGGGACAAAGCCUCUGCUCGGCCCCCAACUUCACAGAGAAGCUCAGCCCCUCCUGGCAUGGCACUGCAUGGGGGAAAGACACGAGGCACCGAGGUUUGGCUGCAGGGCUUUGGGCUGGCCCUGCUCAGCUCCCACCACCCCU